UCAAUUUAUAUUUUAUGAUCACAUAUUUGGAAUAAUCUUAUGUUUGUAGUAUUACUAUGUAACGAAAAAAAGCAAAGAGUUGUCUAGAGUUAUGUAAAAUUUGGAAAACUGCAUAUUCAUAUCUCAGAAUGUAACAUGAAGACCGGAAAACUGUUAGUGCUUCUUGCCUUUUUCGUUGUUACGGUUUUAUACCACAGUUAUGUCGUUGAAUGCCGAGGCGGUGUUAAGGGCGGAUCACAUAAACAACGAGCAUCACGUGCUAGAAAGUCUAGUUCUUUUAGAUCGACGCCGGACGACGGAAACGGGAAACUAAUUGGCAUAAUCGUUGGUUCGGUGAUAGGAGGCAGCAUUAUGAUUACACUUGUAGUAUUUUUGACAUACUAUUUCUGUUCUUCGAAAAGAAAGACAUUACAAGUUUCAGCAACAUCAAAUGAUGUACCAGUGGGGGAAUUAUAAGCAAACGAAAUCGUGUUCAUCAAAACAGUUUCAAAGGUUUCCUACAAACAGCUGUAGAACCUUUAUUUUCUUAGUAAAUAUGUUAAUUAUGUAUUUUAAAAGAUCAUUAAGAAAGCAUUUGAAAAAUUCUGAAUUAGGAUUAUUUUCAUGUUAAUAAUUGUUGAUAAUGUAAUUAUACAAAUGUGUUUUAAAAACGUGUGUACCUAAAAGAUAUACUGCAAAUACCUCUAGACAUAUACAAACUAGACCGCCUGAAAAUGUUGCAAAGUGGUCUGAAAAGAUAUGGAAGUUUAUUUUCAAUAUUCUAUUCUGAGGCCAAAUCAUGGCCCAUGAGGACAUACACUACAUGAUAUAUGGCAAGACAGUAUGCAACAUAUAGAUCUACAUACAAUUGAAGUUGAUGUGUGGAGAAGGUUGAAAAUACAUUACAUAUGAAUAUCCUUAAUGCAUAAUAAUAUCAAUGAUUAUCAACAAAUAUCUGAAAAUAUAAAUACACCCACCGUUCGGAAGUGUUCCUACAAUACGUUAUGCCCCUUGACUUGAAUGCAUAUUCUGCUAAUUAUAUGAACAGAAAAUAACAGCACAAUUAAAUAUAUACAUUAUUAAAAAGAGAAAUCAACAAUAUAUUUUGCUUUGAUGAUACGAUGGUGUAGUCCGUUACAGUGUAGGGACAGCUUUUUACGGUUGAAUGAAAGUUUUAAUAAAUAGCUUCUCCACUGAAGUCAAAUAUAAAACGAAUUUGGCCUUUAUGCUUAAAAGUACAAUUUUACUUCAAAGACCAGCCUAUUUGUGCAUAGUCGGUAGAUUUUUAUUUUUACGGUUUCGUUUGAAAGAUAAAUAUUUUUUCUUUUCGCUGAAACAGUUAAACCCAUAUUCAACAAUAUUUGCUAGAAAUGCUAGUAAACUUAAUGGUAACAUACAUUUUAUAUUUUGAUGAAAUACUUUUGAUUCCCGGUAGUACUAUUGGCAAAUGUGUUCUUCUUCGCUAUGACAUUCUAUGUGGAUCGCUUCCAGGGACACCCUGUCAUGAUAGGUGUUGGUUGGCUGGGAGUGUGGAUUUUUGUGCUGUUAUCAUGUUCCCAAAGCAUAAAGGCUACUGGCUAAUACGGAAAUAAUCUGUAUUAUGUAUUUAUAGAUUAUUUGCACAGGGUGCUGAACUAUGCCGCAUGUGAACGAUUGCUAAUUCUCUAUGUCCUAGGGUAGCCUUGCACAAAAAUUAUGUUGGGAGACACAAAGUACAUUUAUUUUAACUGCGAAAACAAUCAAAUUAGUUUGGUUUACACAAUAAUUUAUUUUAGCUCGAUUGUAAUGAAAGCUUUGAAACUUAUUUGAAUCACUCUUGAGCUCACUUCCUCUAAAGCAAUACUGGUGUCAUAUGGCAUGAUCAUAGCCCCAGUAGGGCUCCGAACAUAAAACCUCAAUGCGGGGCAUUCGACACCAUUACCAAUAAACUACCGCUCCUCUAUCUCAUAAGGAUCUUUUAUGGAAACAAUUAGAAAAUUGAUGCCUGAGCUUUGUUUAGACAUGUGUCAACAAAACGAACAAUACUGAAAUAAAGUGAGUAAAUGUUAA
Mercenaria mercenaria is the source of this 2028-nucleotide long non-coding RNA. RefSeq lists it as uncharacterized. The record is from RefSeq and is a predicted model, not a curated record. Lineage: Eukaryota; Metazoa; Mollusca; Bivalvia; Venerida; Veneridae. The transcript has 4 exons.